AGUUCAAGAGCACCAUGCUAAGGGCCUGCUUUCUAGGCCCACUCCCGGUGUAAAGGUUUUGGCUUGGAUUCUCCCUGAAAGCAAGGACUUGAGACAGGGACUUGUGUCUAGGUAGUAUAUUUGGGUGGUAACACCAAGGAGCAGGGAUGAGGGACUGAGCAAAGUGAGGAAAACAGGAAAGGAUAAUGUAGGAUAAGCCUGCAUUAUCAAAGUCACUGCUGAGCCCAGCUAGGGCUUGAUGUCAACCAGAACCUUCUGAGGAUUGUGUAGAAUGUCCCUUAGCAUUCUCUGCCUAGGGAUCAAUGGAAAGGGAGCAAUUGCUGCCACUUCCUCGCCCCCAAUGUUUGUGGGUUAAUCCUGCGCGCUGUGGAUGUGCGCAUACGGGGUGGACUCCCUGUGUCACCUGUGGCAUUGGAGAAGCCCCGGAGCAGACAGUGAAAGAUAUGAAGUGUGACACCGACAAGCUCUUUUUGGAAAAUUCCCUACGAGAACCGAAAUUUAAACCCAUUUACUUUAUAAGAAGCAGCAGAAAGAAGACUGGCCCUGAGCUAACAUCCGUGCUCAUCUUCCUCUGUUCUAUAUGUGGGACGCCUGCCACAGCAUGGCUUGACAAGUGGUGUGUAGGUCCGCACCUGGGAUCCAAACCGGUCGCUCUUCCCAGUCUUCAUGCACCUGCAGGGCUGUCAACACUGGGAGGACUGGAAGAAAUUUGUAAAGAGUCUGGGAGUCUUCAGAGAGGAAAAGAGUGCAGACCUGGACUCCUCCUUUUCCAAUGUCUUUAUUAUUAGAAGGUUUUCUAUGCAUUGAGCCGGUUCUGAUUAAGAAAGGAUCUAAUAAGAAGGAACAUUGAAGACCUUAAGCUGUUAGCCCUGCUGUGGCCGGCAUUACCCGAUGGGACAGGCUAUCCGGUCAUGGGCACGACUGGAGGCAGAAGGCCCUCCUGACCCGGCCACUGUGCUCUGUAAACUAAAAAGCUGUUGGCGCGGAUGCCAUGUCUUACCUCUGAGGAGCAGGCUGCUUCUCUCUUGACGAAUCGCUGUGGCCACUAUUGGAAUCUGCAACAGCAAAGGCCAGCGCACACCAGGCGAAAAGGUCACCCUGGCCUGUGGGGGAUCCGUUUUCAUCAGUAAACGGUGCCAGGAGCAGAACACCAGCAGCCUUCAGCUUGUAUUCUCUCAGACUCUCUGGUUUUCUCCCUCUGAGGUGGAUCAAGAGGCCCCCAGAGUUUUUGAACAAUUUGAUAGACAAGAGAGACCUUGGACUCCCUGCUAGUCUGGCAAUUGAGAAGUGGUUUUAAUUUGGAAAAAAUAACAGGUGGGACCUCAUUUUUACCCAAAACUAUUGAAGUAGAUCCUACUAUUACCACAU
This 1368-nucleotide long non-coding RNA is filed under the name Equus asinus (donkey). RNAcentral's name for it is "lncRNA (ENSEASG00005038081.1)". The record is from RNAcentral. Lineage: Eukaryota; Metazoa; Chordata; Mammalia; Perissodactyla; Equidae.